This 500-nucleotide ribosomal RNA is filed under the name uncultured bacterium. Its description in RNAcentral is "partial 16S ribosomal RNA". It matches the Rfam family "Bacterial small subunit ribosomal RNA", at positions 30 to 523 of the family's 1533-position model. The record is from RNAcentral.
AUUGAACGCUGGCGGAAUGCUUUACACAUGCAAGUCGAACGGCAGCACGGACUUCGGUCUGGUGGCGAGUGGCGAACGGGUGAGUAAUGUAUCGGAACGUGCCCAGUCGUGGGGGAUAACGUAGUGAAAAUUAUGCUAAUAACGCAUACGAUCUAUGGAUGAAAGCGGGGGAUCGCAAGACCUCGCGCGAUUGGAGCGGCUGAUAUCAGAUUAGGUAGUUGGUGGGGUAAAGGCCCACCAAGCCAACGAUCUGUAGCUGGUCUGAGAGGACGACCAGCCACACUGGAACUGAGACACGGUCCAGACUCCUACGGGAGGCGGCAGUGGGGAAUUUUGGACAAUGGGCGAAAGCCUGAUCCAGCCAUUCCGCGUGCAGGAUGAAGGCCCUCGGGUUGUAAACUGCUUUUGUACAGAACGAAAAGGUUUCUACUAAUACUAGGAGCUCAUGACGGUACUGUAAGAAUAAGCACCGGCUAACUACGUGCCAGCAGCCGCCGUAA